UACCAUGGGAAGACUUUCGGUCCAUCGU
Molecule: non-coding RNA, 28 nt
Filed under: Bombyx mori (domestic silkworm)
Lineage: Eukaryota; Metazoa; Arthropoda; Insecta; Lepidoptera; Bombycidae
Source: RNAcentral